Anolis sagrei ordinatus is the source of this 709-nucleotide non-coding RNA. NCBI's taxonomy places the organism in Eukaryota, Metazoa, Chordata, Lepidosauria, Squamata, Anolidae. The record is from RefSeq and is a predicted model, not a curated record.
GGCCCAGGUCCAGGCCCCCACCCCGCCAGGGGAAGAAGGACACGCCCACGCCCAGCAGGACACGCCCAGCAGCCACCCGGCCUACAGCAGCGUGCCGUCCGCUCCAGCGUUUGCUCCGAACAUGAAAGAGCCCAGCACCCAGCUUGAGGCCCCCUCUUCCUACCCGCUGAGCAACUUCCACGAGAUGAUGGUGGCCUAUGGGCUGCAGGGCUAUGAAUUUGGGGAGGGGUCUGCCCCCUACGGCCUGUCCCCGGCCCCCUACCAGCCCUUGAGCUUGGGCGGCCCCCUUUCCUUGACCCAGCUUUGACCCAUGAGAGACUGAGGCUUCUAGGAGACGCUGAGCGUCGCUAGGUUAGUCCUGUUUGUAGGUGCAUCGGCUGCAUUUGUAGGGUGGGGUUGGGGGUGAGGGCACGGCAACUGCAUUAUUAUUUUUGCAAAGUGAAGGAAAUCUGUUUAGGGGUGAGAAAAAUAGGAAAGUCCUGCUGGCAGGUCCCCUUGGAGUGCUGAAUAACCUGGAGUGGGGUUCCAUCCCCAAGUGCCUUCUUUACAUACCAUUCCAUGAUUGUGGGGCAAAAAUAUGUCUAAUUGGGGGGGGGGGGGCAUUAACCCCAAAGGUGGGAAAGGGAUAUGGUGAGAGGGAGCGUUUUGUAGUGGGCAUUUUUUACAAACCUUUUUUACAAACAUUGCAAAUAAAAACCUCUUAUAUGUU